GGCCUCGUAUCUCAGCUGGAAGAGCAUUCGCUAUACUAAAGCGAUGAUGGUGACCGUGCACGGGUUCGAAUCCCGCCGGGGCCA
This 84-nucleotide transfer RNA is filed under the name Fasciola hepatica (liver fluke). It matches the Rfam family "tRNA". Rfam says of the family: Transfer RNA (tRNA) molecules are approximately 80 nucleotides in length. Their secondary structure includes four short double-helical elements and three loops (D, anti-codon, and T loops). Lineage: Eukaryota; Metazoa; Platyhelminthes; Trematoda; Plagiorchiida; Fasciolidae. The record is from Rfam by way of RNAcentral.